Esox lucius (northern pike) is the source of this 310-nucleotide long non-coding RNA. RefSeq lists it as uncharacterized. The record is from RefSeq and is a predicted model, not a curated record. The transcript has 3 exons. Lineage: Eukaryota; Metazoa; Chordata; Actinopteri; Esociformes; Esocidae.
GAUCAGCUGAACACCAGGAAGACUGGGGGGGACCCUCGCUCACAGUGACCAUCUGCAAUGGCCAUUCUGGCCACAUGGAGGAGCAGAAAGGUCUGGAAACCUGGAGGCUCGCAGGAGGAGAAGAACUGGUUGUAGAGUUGGAGGCCAAGGUCGAGAAUCGGGCCAAAGCAUCACUGCAUACCUGACCCACUGCCAAAAUGUCCCUCAGAGGGCACACACUCAACGAAAUCAAAGGAACACUGAGCCCUGGCCUAGCUGAAUCAGGAUGAUUUGUACCCAGGCUGGAACAAAAACCUGCAUAGCAUAGCUC